Molecule: ribosomal RNA, 258 nt
Filed under: Triticum aestivum (bread wheat)
Lineage: Eukaryota; Viridiplantae; Streptophyta; Magnoliopsida; Poales; Poaceae
Description: partial small subunit ribosomal RNA
Source: RNAcentral
AUGGAGGGUGCCGGCUUCGGGCGCGUCGCGCUGAGCUACUACGUGCUGCUGCAAGCGCGGCGGGAGGAGCGCAUGGAGGGCACCGGCUUCUGGUGCGUCCCGCUGAGCUACUACGCGCUCUUGCAGGCACGGCGGGCGGCGCAGGGGCUGGGCUGCGACGGCUUUAAGGUCCGCGUGGAGAAGGGCACCUUCUUCCUGUGCUGGCAGGACCGCGCCCUCUUCUCCGUCUCCGCCUGGCGCCGCCGCCGCUUUGACUGA